This 451-nucleotide ribosomal RNA is filed under the name uncultured Spirochaeta sp. RNAcentral's name for it is "bacterial SSU rRNA". It matches the Rfam family "Bacterial small subunit ribosomal RNA", at positions 933 to 1382 of the family's 1533-position model. The record is from RNAcentral. Lineage: Bacteria; Pseudomonadati; Spirochaetota; Spirochaetia; Spirochaetales; Spirochaetaceae.
UGGAGCAUGUGGUUUAAUUCGAUGGUACACGAGGAACCUUACCAGGGCUUGACAUGUGCAUGACAGUCCGUGAGAACGGGCGUCCCCGCAAGGGGCGUGCACACAGGUGCUGCAUGGCUGUCGUCAGCUCGUGUCGUGAGAUGUUGGGUUAAGUCCCGCAACGAGCGCAACCCUUACUGUCUGUUGCCAACGGGUGAGUGCCGGGGACUCAGACGGAACUGCCGGUGACAAACCGGAGGAAGGUGGGAUGACGUCAAGUCAUCAUGGCCCUUAUGUCCUGGGCUACACACGUGCUACAAUGGUCGGUACAAAGCGAGGCGAAACGGCGACGUGGAGCAAAUCGCAGAAAGCCGAUCUCAGUGCGGAUUGGAGUCUGAAACCCGACUCCAUGAAGUUGGAAUCGCUAGUAAUCGCGCAUCAGCAUGGCGCGGUGAAUACGUUCCCGGGCCUU